Molecule: ribosomal RNA, 442 nt
Filed under: uncultured bacterium
Lineage: Bacteria
Description: partial 16S ribosomal RNA
Rfam family: Bacterial small subunit ribosomal RNA
Source: RNAcentral
CCUACGGGUGGCAGCAGUGGGGAAUAUUGGGCAAUGGGCGCAAGCCUGACCCAGCAACGCCGCGUGCAGGAUGAAGGCUUUCGGGUUGUAAACUUCUUUUGUCAGGGAAGAGUAGAAGACGGUACCUGUCGUAUAAGACUCGGCUAACCACGUGCCAGCACCCGCGGUAAGACGUAGGUGGCAAGCGUUGUCCGGCAUUACUGGGUGUAAAUGUCGUGUAGUCUGGUUGACAAGUCAGAUGUGAAAUCCUUCGGCUUAAACGCAGAACUGCCUUUGACACUGUUGAUCUUGAGUAAUGGAGAGGCAGGCGGAAUUCCUAGUGAAGCGGUGAAAUGCGUAGAUAUAAGGAGGAACACCAGAGGCGAAGGCGGUCUGCUGGACAGCAACUGACGGUGAGGCGCGAAAGCGUGGGGAGCAAACAGGAUUAGAUACCCUUGUAGUC